GCGCCAGUGGCGGAAUGGUAGACGCGCUGGUCUUAGGAACCAGUGGGCAACCGUGGGGGUUCGAGUCCCUCCUGGCGCACCA
Molecule: transfer RNA, 82 nt
Filed under: alpha proteobacterium HIMB59
Lineage: Bacteria; Pseudomonadati; Pseudomonadota; Alphaproteobacteria; Candidatus Pelagibacterales; Candidatus Pelagibacteraceae
Also listed under: 2 other names
Description: tRNA-Leu
Rfam family: tRNA
About the family: Transfer RNA (tRNA) molecules are approximately 80 nucleotides in length. Their secondary structure includes four short double-helical elements and three loops (D, anti-codon, and T loops).
Source: RNAcentral